CAGGGGUCUCGAGCGUUAAUCGGAAUCACUGGGCUUAAAGGGUGCGUAGGCGGACCCGAACGCGUCCCGUGAAAUCCCCCGGCUCAACCGGGGAACUGCGGGGCGAACGGUGGGUCUCGAGGCAGGUAGGGGUCGCCGGAACCGUAGGUGGAGCGGUGAAAUGCGUAGAUAUCUACGGGAACGCCGAUGGUGAAGACGGGCGACUGGGCCUGUCCUGACGCUGAGGCACGAAAGCGUGGGGAGCAAACAGGAUUAGAUACCCUGGUAGUCCACGCCGUAAACGAUGCGCACUAGAUCGGUGCGGCUCUGACGCCGUAUCGGUCGGAGUAAAAACGAUAAGUGCGCCGCCUGGGGAGUACGGUCGCAAGGCUA
RNAcentral lists this ribosomal RNA (372 nucleotides) under uncultured organism. RNAcentral's name for it is "bacterial SSU rRNA". It matches the Rfam family "Bacterial small subunit ribosomal RNA", at positions 526 to 896 of the family's 1533-position model. The record is from RNAcentral.